This is a long non-coding RNA of Strongylocentrotus purpuratus (purple sea urchin), 1052 nucleotides long. RefSeq lists it as uncharacterized. The transcript is spliced from 2 exons. NCBI's taxonomy places the organism in Eukaryota, Metazoa, Echinodermata, Echinoidea, Camarodonta, Strongylocentrotidae. The record is from RefSeq and is a predicted model, not a curated record.
AGGUAAAAAAAAAAGAAAAAGAAGAAAAAGUCUGAUGAAGGUAAACGAAAAAAAAAAAAAAAACCAAGGUAAAAAGAGAAAUAUUGUUCAUGUUAGAUACAAAGGAGGUUAGGUAUAUGAAGAGGUAUUUUGUUUUCAAAACAAAUAUUUAUUACAUCACCAGCUAUAAGAAUAUUAAUGUUUUUUAACUACUAUUUUUAAUCUUUAUUGUUUGUAGAGAAAAAUUAGACCACUUUAAUUUUUUCCAUUGUGAAGAAUAUAAUACUUUUUUUAAAAUCCAUAAGUGUAAAAUAACCAAUGAAGUUGUCUGCAUAGGAAGGAAUGAAUGUAAACAAAUUCAGAGAAAGAAAAUAGUUUGAAGAAAUAAGUUUUUUGUACAUAGAACAUAGAUCUUCAGUAAUAUUUGGUAUUUUUAAAUUAAAGAUAAAAAAGGGUAAUCUAUUGUUAAACCACAACUUUGCUGUGAAGCUCAAUAUUUCUGAAUAAUUAACUGCAUAUGAUUCAAGAAAUUAACAUUUCAGGUUUUUUCUCAAUAUUUUUCCAACUGUUAUACAUGUCCGAAAUCUAUUGUGUGUAAAUAACUUUCUGUUAAAUGAUUUCUCUGUUUAAAAAACAAAGUUAAAAGUACAAACUUGAUUUCUGAAUCGUAAGACAAACAUAUUUUUUUGAAAGAAUCUGUUAUACGAAUACAAAAUUGCUGAAAUACAUUUCCCUGUAUAACAUUUUAAAAGUGGAAAGGAAUAGAAACACCCUCUUUAAAACAUUUUGUUAUUUUAUUGUUAAACAACAACUUGUCUGUGAAGCUCAGUAUUUCUAAAUAAUUUGAAUAAUUUACUGCAUAGGAUCCAAUUAACUAUUGAAACAAAAGAAACUGACAAUUUCUCUAUUGUACAAUAAUUUUUUCCAAUUGUCAAAAAUUACAAAUCUAUUUUCUGUUUAACGAUUUCUGUGUUUAGGAUACUUACAAGAUUUUUAGUUACAAAAACCAAAAAGUUUUGAAAUACAUUGCUCUCAAGGAUGUAAAACCAUUUCCUUCAACCGGUAUAUGAAAA